RNAcentral lists this unclassified non-coding RNA (300 nucleotides) under Hevea brasiliensis (rubber tree). The record is from RNAcentral. Lineage: Eukaryota; Viridiplantae; Streptophyta; Magnoliopsida; Malpighiales; Euphorbiaceae.
GCCUUCUUAUUGAAUAUGACUGGUAUUCAUUCUUGACUACCUUUUGCCUCUAACGGUGCAUAUUGUUCUGUACUAGUCUAGAAUGGAUGGCUCUCUCACCCCGUUCUUGUGUUCGAACUUGGAUUAUAUAUUUGACAAUAUACAGAACCCAAAAGGUGUGAUGGAAUGUUCUGGUACUCUUAGGUGCACCUUUAUAAAAUUUAAAAAGAAGCGCAAAUGGAAUUCCCUUUAAAUUAUAAGAGCAUUGUUGACAAUAUAUAUGGUUCACUUGAUUGUUAUCCUAGUAAAUUGGCAGUCUUU